AUUGAACGCUGGCGGCAGGCUUAACACAUGCAAGUCGAGCGGGGUGAUGGUGCUUGCACUAUCACUUAGCGGCGGACGGGUGAGUAAUGCUUAGGAAUCUGCCUAUUAGUGGGGGACAACAUCUCGAAAGGGAUGCUAAUACCGCAUACGUCCUACGGGAGAAAGCAGGGGAUCACUUGUGACCUUGCGCUAAUAGAUGAGCCUAAGUCGGAUUAGCUAGUUGGUGGGGUAAAGGCCUACCAAGGCGACGAGCUGUAGCGGGUCUGAGAGGAUGAUCCGCCACACUGGGACAGGGAAACGGCCCAGACUCCUACGGGAGGCAGCAGUGGGGAAUAUUGGACAAUGGGGGGAACCCUGAUCCAGCCAUGCCGCGUGUGUGAAGAAGGCCUUAUGGUUGUAAAGCACUUUAAGCGAGGAGGAGGCUCUUUUGGUUAAUACCCAAGAUGAGUGACGUUACUCGCAGAAUAAGCACCGGCUAACUCUGUGCCAGCAGCCGCCGUAA
This 502-nucleotide ribosomal RNA is filed under the name uncultured bacterium. RNAcentral's name for it is "partial 16S ribosomal RNA". It matches the Rfam family "Bacterial small subunit ribosomal RNA", at positions 30 to 523 of the family's 1533-position model. The record is from RNAcentral.